This 69-nucleotide transfer RNA is filed under the name Ixodes scapularis (black-legged tick). It matches the Rfam family "tRNA", at positions 7 to 64 of the family's 71-position model. From Rfam's summary of the family: Transfer RNA (tRNA) molecules are approximately 80 nucleotides in length. The record is from Rfam by way of RNAcentral. Lineage: Eukaryota; Metazoa; Arthropoda; Arachnida; Ixodida; Ixodidae.
GUGGCCGAGUGGUUAAGGCGAUAGACUUGAAAUCCAUUGGGGUCUCCCCGCACAGGUUCGAAUCCUGUC